UAAAUAUAUAUAUACAUUCUUCUUAUGACUAGUCUCAGGGAAUCAGGAAGAAACAUUUCUGUUUUAUUCUAUAUCUGUAGCAAGGCUUAGAAGGUGAAACCAUAUGAUCUUAUCAAUGCUUUUCUCAUAAGUUAAUUCCAAAUGACUUCCUUCUUCCUCCAAAUUUUACAAUUCUUUGUCUUCGAUGUGAAAUGAAAUACUUUAAGAAUCUGUACGGAAGUGCAAUUUCUGGGGAAAAAAAAAUGAUUACCCUGUUAAUAUAAGGCUGCUUAUGCUGAAGAACUCAUUUCCCUACACAGAAGAUUGUACUGUAAAGAAGAAAUAGUAGAUGAAGAGGUUAUUCAACAUGACUCUACUUUAAGAGAAUGCAGAAUAUCUAUUUCUGAUCACUUCUGAACAAGUAAUUGUUACCACUCCUGGUUUUCAGAAGAGAUAGGAGACAAAAAACUGUGUGAAAACCAGAUUAGGCUUUGUGGCUAUUUUUAUGUGCUUGAUGACAUUAAUUCCUCGUUUCUUCAGUUGAAAUUAAGGUACUGGAUUUCCUUUUGAAUCUGUCAGAACAAUAAUAAUAUUGAUUAAAACCUUUGAGCUCAAGCACUAUACCAGUCUGAUCAAUCAUAAACUGUUUUCAGGCCAGGAACAAUCUUUCUAAGUGGCUUGCAGAGAAGGCAGGCUGAAAUUUUUCUCCAUUAUCAUUAACAUUUUUGUGGGUUUUUAGUUUGGUUUUGUAAUUUUUUCCUCUGUGGUGUUAAUUGCUUAGCCCUGAGUGAACCUCCAAAACCUGCAAUCUAUGCUCUAUCAAAUCCAGAAAACCUUGAAAAACACUUCAGGACUGUUGAUCUCAUAAGUAAGCAAAACUCAGCAGUAAGAAAUCUAGGAAAUUUCAUUCAUUACUAGUUAUCACUCUCACUUCUCUGCAAAAAUUAUUUUAAUAGAAUCAUAGAACCCUUAGAGUUGAAAGUCCAGACAGAUGACAUCAUUGGUUCUUCUCUUGAUGCAGUGACAUCAUCGUAGAAGACCACUAGUUUGUUCAAGCAGAAUUUGCCCUUUGUGAAGCCAUGUUGGUUCUUCUAUACCACCUCCUUGCCUUCCAUAUGCCUUAGCAUAGCUUAUUUUAUUUUGCUGCCUAUUAGACUCUAUAAAAUAUCAUUGUCUAACACUAAUAUUAAAAAUAUUUUAGAUACUGCUACCAAAAGCAAAAAAAUAAGCCCAGGAGAAAUAACAAUUACGUGUUUUAUGUGAUGAUACACUUCUUAGCAUAAAUAUGUGUGUGUGUGUGCACAUGUGUGUACAUAUACCUUCAUAUUGACCUUGGGGAACCACUACAGACAUAGCCCAAACUUCCAUCACAUGAUUGUUUUAGACAGGAAUACUUUUUAUCCUCAGAAGUUAAAGAACAAAGCAGAUCAUUACCAAAUGGUUCUUAUCCAGAACAAAAGUCACUUAUUCCCUUUUCAGUUUCAUCUCAGUUCUUAUGAACCUUGCAUUUCACCAAGCCUGGUGCCAUAUUUGAUGAGCUAUUGAAUUAGUGGCCUUCUCUCUGUUCAAGUGAGUUUUUAAUACAAACAAGACUGAUCUCAAUGAAAUGCCAUCCCAAAAGAAUGCCCUUUCUUAGCACAUCUGAUCCUGUGGGUCAAGCUUUGAACUGGAUCUUCUCAAGCUGUUGCUGUAAACAACUUGGUAGACAUUUUGUACUGGACAAGGUCUUUUUCAAUAUCUAUUUCCUCUUCAGAAACCCUUCAAAACAGAAGAAUAAAAUAUCCAAUGUGCCCAGGGGUUGUUUUAACAUGAAAUAGGAUUUUAAUUUGGAAACUUCAGCAAGUUCUAUACUCAGCCCCAUACUGAAGGGGAUCACAAGAAAUUUGGAGGCAGAAAAGGCAAAUAAGGUAGACAUGGUGCUUUGACCUCUUCGUGGUGAGGCUCCCAGAUCAUUCCAUGCCUGCAGUACCCUUUCAUCACCCUCACUAGAACUUAUGCUCUACUCUAUCGCAAAAGAGAAGAAUUAGAGCAGGUUUGAUAUGGGAGUCUCUCAAUAUUAAAGUAAAUACAGUCGCUGAAGGUAAUUAAAACUGCACACAGGUAAUCUCUUAUAAUAGUCAUCUGGAUAAUCUUAGAGACAAAUUUGGGAAAAUUAAAAAAAUAGAUACAUGUAAAUUCAAGUGGAGAACAUCCAGAUGGAUGUUGCUACAUCUCUCUGCCUUCCCUACUUCUUGUUGCAUCACACAUAUGCAAAACAAAGCAUAUGAAUGACAUUACUUACUGUGUCUAACCCAUGGAUCCUGUAGACUUUGGCUGCCAUGAAAUUCCAGGGGAGAAUUCAGUUGCCACAACAUGGGUCUAUCAUGCCAUUUGAGGUGAUGUAGAAUAUCUGGUAUAGCCUCCAGUUGAAGUUUCAGGAGUGUGUGGGUCUCACAUAGGUCCUACAGUUCUUUCUACCAGUUUUUUGUGGCUGGCUUCAACAAUAUAGAGCAUCUAAAAUGUCCUUAGAGGCCUAUAUUUCAACAUCUGUCUCCUAUUCCCAUUUUUGCAAGCUAUAGAGAAGAUACAUUUUCAGUUUCAGGAGAAUCCCUAAGUUUAAGAUGAUAAAGUAAAAAAAAGAUAUUUACAACUCUUUUUUUAUUGGGACAAGUUUGCUCUUGCAGAUGCAACAAAAAGUUGGUCGCUUGCAUUUCAGCAAGACACCUGUUGCCUUUUCUAUACAUCUGCUCAGGUAGUAAAAGCUACAACAAGGAGAAGGACUUCCAGGAAACAGCUUACUAUCCAGAGCUUCCCUCACAUUCAUAGACAAACUCUUUGGGAUCUACUCUAUCAAUCAGAAAACGCUUCUAUGCCUAUUGCAGCUUGGAAGUGCAACCUGGGACACCGAUCUCUUGGGGGUAAAUGCACCAACAUGUCCUUCUCAGAUAUCAUGCACAGGGCUGCACAGGGCUCUCCUGGUGAGGUAGAAGUCCUUUAGUCAACACAUACUGCAGCAUCCACAGAGGGACCCAUGGUGGAGAAAAUCCAGGGAAACUGUUUGCCCCAAGCAAAUCUGCUGUGCAACCAGUGGGCUGGUGCUGGAUUUACAUCACAAUGAGCCCAGACUGAGCACAGCCCUGUAAGUGGAGCUGUGGGAGCACAGGGGAAAGUUCUCACCUAGCACACCUUAAAGAAAAGGUACAGUCUAAACUCCUUUAUAGUCAAAGCGGGAAUGGGCAUAAUUUAAAGCUGUACAGCUUAAAAAUGAAAAAUAAAAAAAUGCAUUCACCCUCUUUUUCCUUCCACACUUUCAUCUGGUGGAAAAUCUGAUUCAAAAGAGAGUAGUUGCUUUGGAAAAUCUGGCUAGUGUGUCAGUUCACUUUGAAAAAGAGUGGAGAACAAAAAAGCCCAGCUCCUGAGCUCAUGAUGACCCUUAAGGGAACUUAAUUAAAGGUGAUGGUGAACGAAAGGUAGGCAGUUAAGUGUCUACCCCAGACAGGAUAUGGUGAGCCAGACUUUACAAUAUGUGUAGAGAUGUCUGAUUUUUGCCCCCAUCUCUCCUUCCCAGGUGAAUGCUGGAGCAGGGGAGGAGGUAAGCAUAGCAGUGCCAUUUCUUCACUCCUGUUCCCCAGGGAAUUGAUCUCACAAAAUUUGUAUUUCACUCUGCUUUUUUUCACUCAUAUCAGGAAUCUGACCCAGAACUUGCCUGCCACUUACAAAAAAGGAAAAAGAAAGAAAGAAAGAAAUCCUGUGCAAAUAGGGGUCAUGUUCCAGUGAACUCAUGCUAAACAUAACUUUUUCAUUUCAGCUCUCCCGCCCGCCUGGUGGCUCAGCACUUAAUGCCUCUAUUCUUAUCACUCUACAGCCCUAUAAAGACAAAACCUCUGCAGCAUACAGCAGUAAGAUAGCAGGCGUCAUGGGGCUAGGUUACAGGACUUUUCAUCUAAGUGGAAUAAUUAUUAUCAUUUUACUUCGCCUCCUGCCAUUCCUUUCUCUAUUCUCCAGUACAGAAUUUUGCAUUUGCUCUCCAUUUUCACACUGCUUCAUUAAAAUCUCUCUCCAGUGCUCUCUGCUGCAGCUGCCCACAGACCUUCCAAACUCUCUUGCCAGUAAGAUCGGGCUGCAAAUACCCCAGGCUGCUCUGGGAAGAGGAUGAGCAGCCCAUCGCUGGAGCAAACCAGCAAUACAACAGGCAGCAAUCUAUAAGAGCUUUUUUUGAAACUUCGAUUUUCCGUGCUUUGUCUGGUGCUAGACGGGGGAACUGUGAAGCAGCAUGGUGUGGCUGUUAGCUUGUUACAGCAAGCAGAGAUGAAACUGUAUGAAACUGAUUAAAUCAAAAGUAGGGGGGACAUGUUCCAAACUAUUUUUUUUUUUUAAGAAAUCCUGUGCUUUUUUUGUCCUUUCUUACCCAUAGAAGAGUUGCUAUCUUAAUUUUGUUUUCAUACUUCAUCAAAAUCAGGGAGUCAAGCCUACCUUUGGCACAGGACUGCUGUGUGACCUUGACAAGUUACUCUAACGAGAUUGUGCUGAUGCUCACCAAACUCUGAAAAUGAGACCACAAGGGCACUUCAGUGUGGAUGAGAUGUCCACAUUUCACAUGGGUAGUAAAACACUGAAAAACAUUGCCCAGCAUGAUGGUGGAAGCCCCAUCCGUGGAGAAAUUCAAGAUCAGCCUGGAUGGAGCUCUGAGCAACCUAAUCUAACUAUACUUCCCAAAUUUAUAGUGGCCAAAAUUGCUAUCAUUUGUUGACAAAUAAAUAAGCUACAGUAUGAGAAAUUUGUGGUCAAAUGUAGGUGCCUUUCAUGCUCUGAAGUUAAGUUUACCACCAACUUGUCACCAGAGUACUAUGGAAUCACUCCCAGAGAAGGUGGUGGAAAUCCCAUCAAUCCUAAGGCUACAGCUGAAGAAACCAUUGGCAAAAGACAGCAAUGCUCCCCAGAGCAAUUCCAUACCAACAGCAAAGAGUUGGAGAAAUCUGAUGUGAUUCUGCUCUGCUGAUUAAUCUGAAUGGAAACAUAACACUGAGGAUACUCGUUAUUCUUCCUUUUUCUUCUGGAAUAUUUGUGAGUUCUCAAUAAAGGACUUUUCUGGACUGAUGUUUA
Long non-coding RNA from Meleagris gallopavo (turkey), 5061 nucleotides. RefSeq lists it as uncharacterized. The record is from RefSeq and is a predicted model, not a curated record. NCBI's taxonomy places the organism in Eukaryota, Metazoa, Chordata, Aves, Galliformes, Phasianidae.